AGAGUUUGAUCCUGGCUCAGGACGAACGCUGGCGGCGUGCUUAACACAUGCAAGUCGAACGGAAAGGCCCUUCGGGGUACUCGAGUGGCGAACGGGUGAGUAACACGUGGGUGAUCUGCCCUGCACUCUGGGAUAAGCCUGGGAAACUGGGUCUAAUACCGGAUAGGACCACACACUUCAUGGUGAGUGGUGCAAAGCUUUUGCGGUGUGGGAUGAGCCCGCGGCCUAUCAGCUUGUUGGUGGGGUAAUGGCCCACCAAGGCGACGACGGGUAGCCGGCCUGAGAGGGUGACCGGCCACACUGGGACUGAGAUACGGCCCAGACUCCUACGGGAGGCAGCAGUGGGGAAUAUUGCACAAUGGGCGCAAGCCUGAUGCAGCGACGCCGCGUGAGGGAUGACGGCCUUCGGGUUGUAAACCUCUUUCAGUAGGGACGAAGCGAAAGUGACGGUACCUACAGAAGAAGGACCGGCCAACUACGUGCCAGCAGCCGCGGUAAUACGUAGGGUCCGAGCGUUGUCCGGAAUUACUGGGCGUAAAGAGCUCGUAGGUGGUUUGUCGCGUUGUUCGUGAAAACUCACAGCUUAACUGUGGGCGUGCGGGCGAUACGGGCAGACUGGAGUACUGCAGGGGAGACUGGAAUUCCUGGUGUAGCGGUGGAAUGCGCAGAUAUCAGGAGGAACACCGGUGGCGAAGGCGGGUCUCUGGGCAGUAACUGACGCUGAGGAGCGAAAGCGUGGGGAGCGAACAGGAUUAGAUACCCUGGUAGUCC
Molecule: ribosomal RNA, 771 nt
Filed under: uncultured bacterium
Lineage: Bacteria
Description: bacterial SSU rRNA
Rfam family: Bacterial small subunit ribosomal RNA
Source: RNAcentral